Molecule: small nucleolar RNA, 126 nt
Organism: Grammomys surdaster
Lineage: Eukaryota; Metazoa; Chordata; Mammalia; Rodentia; Muridae
Product: small nucleolar RNA SNORA17
Exons: 1
Source: RefSeq, a predicted model, not a curated record
CCUGCCCCUAGAAAUGUUACAGGUGGCUGCUGUGUCACAUGUGCGUCAGUAGGUAGCAGAGAGAAGAUGCUGUCUAUACUAAGGGUUCUGACCUAUGAACAUCUGAAUGACUAGAAGCCUAACAUU